Molecule: ribosomal RNA, 492 nt
Filed under: uncultured bacterium
Lineage: Bacteria
Description: partial 16S ribosomal RNA
Rfam family: Bacterial small subunit ribosomal RNA
Source: RNAcentral
AGUGAACGCUGGCGGUAGGCCUAACACAUGCAAGUCGAACGGCAGCACAGUAAGAGCUUGCUCUUACGGGUGGCGAGUGGCGGACGGGUGAGGAAUACAUUGGAAUCUACUUUUUCGUGGGGGAUAACGUAGGGAAACUUACGCUAAUACCGCAUACGACCUACGGGUGAAAGCAGGGGAUCUUCGGACCUUGCGCGAUUGAAUGAGCCGAUGUCGGAUUAGCUAGUUGGCGGGGUAAAGGCCCACCAAGGCGACGAUCCGUAGCUGGUCUGAGAGGAUGAUCAGCCACACUGGAACUGAGACACGGUCCAGACUCCUACGGGAGGCAGCAGUGGGGAAUAUUGGACAAUGGGAGCAAGCCUGAUCCAGCCAUACCGCGUGGGUGAAGAAGGCCUUCGGGUUGUAAAGCCCUUUUGUUGGGAAAGAAAAGCAGCAGGUUAAUACCCCGCUGUUCUGACGGUACCCAAAGAAUAAGCACCGGCUAACUUCGUG